This 495-nucleotide ribosomal RNA is filed under the name uncultured bacterium. RNAcentral describes it as "partial 16S ribosomal RNA". It matches the Rfam family "Bacterial small subunit ribosomal RNA", at positions 28 to 507 of the family's 1533-position model. The record is from RNAcentral.
GACGAACGCUGGCGGCGUGCCUAAUACAUGCAAGUAGAACGCUGAAGGAGGAGCUUGCUUCUCUGGAUGAGUUGCGAACGGGUGAGUAACGCGUAGGUAACCUGCCUGGUAGCGGGGGAUAACUAUUGGAAACGAUAGCUAAUACCGCAUAAGAGUAGAUGUUGCAUGACAUUUGCUUAAAAGGUGCAAUUGCAUCACUACCAGAUGGACCUGCGUUGUAUUAGCUGGUUGGUGGGGUAACGGCUCACCAAGGCGACGAUACAUAGCCGACCUGAGAGGGUGAUCGGCCACACUGGGACUGAGACACGGCCCAGACUCCUACGGGAGGCAGCAGUAGGGAAUCUUCGGCAAUGGACGGAAGUCUGACCGAGCAACGCCGCGUGAGUGAAGAAGGUUUUCGGAUCGUAAAGCUCUGUUGUAAGAGAAGAACGAGUGUGAGAGUGGAAAGUUCACACUGUGACGGUAUCUUACCAGAAAGGGACGGCUAACUACGUG